AUAGAUAAAGUAUAAGUGUAUUAUUAAAAUAUAAUUAUAAAUUCAUUGGGUAACUAUUUACGCAAAAAAAAAAACCAAGAAAAAACUGAACUUUGUAUAUUGCAUUCUGUUUAAUGUCUAAUAAGAACAAUAGUCACAAGAAUCACACAAAAUUGGUACACGCCAAGUAUAAAUUUCUAUGUGGUAAAUUGCAUCUAGCAGAUAAAUCAU
This is a long non-coding RNA of Acyrthosiphon pisum (pea aphid), 210 nucleotides long. RefSeq lists it as uncharacterized. NCBI's taxonomy places the organism in Eukaryota, Metazoa, Arthropoda, Insecta, Hemiptera, Aphididae. The record is from RefSeq and is a predicted model, not a curated record. The transcript has 2 exons.